CAGGGAAUCUUGCGCAAUGGGCGAAAGCCUGACGCAGCAACGCCGCGUGGGGGAUGAAGGCCUUCGGGUUGUAAACCCCUUUCAGGAGGGAAGAAAUUGACGGUACCUCCAAAAGAAGCACCGGCCAACUACGUGCCGGCAGCCGCGGUAAUACGUAGGGUGCGAGCGUUAUCCGGAAUCAUUGGGCGUAAAGAGCUCGUAGGCGGUUCAGCAAGUCGGCUGUGAAAGUCUGAGGCUCAACCUCAGAAUUGCAGUCGAUACUGCUGUGACUCGAGUCCGGUAGAGGAGAACGGAAUUCCCGGUGUAGCGGUGAAAUGCGCAGAUAUCGGGAGGAACACCAGUAGCGAAGGCGGUUCUCUGGGCCGGCACUGACGCUGAGGAGCGAAAGCGUGGGGAGCGAAACAGGAUUAGAUACCCUGGUAGUCCACGCCGUAAACGUUGGAUACUAGGUGUGGCGGUCUUACCAACGACUGCCGUGCCGAAGCUAACGCAUUAAGUAU
RNAcentral lists this ribosomal RNA (500 nucleotides) under uncultured Actinomycetes bacterium. Its description in RNAcentral is "bacterial SSU rRNA". It matches the Rfam family "Bacterial small subunit ribosomal RNA", at positions 355 to 867 of the family's 1533-position model. The record is from RNAcentral. Lineage: Bacteria; Bacillati; Actinomycetota; Actinomycetes.